UUUCCGUAGGUGAACCUGCGGAAGGAUCAUUAAUGAAUAUUAGGGUGCUCUCUUCAUCAGAGAGGCCCGACCUUCAUUUCCAACACUGUGAACUUAUAAAUUUGAGACGAGUUCUAACGAACGAGUCUCUAAUCACUUUAAACUCUACAAGUUAAAGAAUGUAACAAACCUAAAACAAAAAAAACUUUCAACAACGGAUCUCUUGGCUCUCGCAUCGAUGAAGAACGCAGC
RNAcentral lists this unclassified non-coding RNA (231 nucleotides) under uncultured fungus. RNAcentral's name for it is "sequence contains ITS1, 5.8S rRNA gene". The stretch from base 183 to 231 matches the Rfam family "5.8S ribosomal RNA", at positions 1 to 49 of the family's 154-position model. The record is from RNAcentral. Lineage: Eukaryota; Fungi.